CGAUUGUCACGCAAACACAAAUGCCUCAGCAAAUAUCUAGUGCGGGCAGCAUUAGACACUUGUGUGCCGGGAUCUAGUGAGCAAAGGCAAUAAAUCCGGAACACGCAGUAGUCAAAUACAAUUUUCGGAGAGAGAGUGUAGAUCUAACAUGGCAAUCAGUACGGAUGAGGCUACAGACAGAGAAGACCCGAAAUCGACAUCGCUUCCUGUGAAGGCAAAUGGAUUUUUCACACAACGAAAAAUCAAUCACUAUGCUAGGGGAAAAUAAUAAAAGAUGUAUGAAAACAGAAGAGAGAGACGGGGUGUAGUUGGAAAGGAUGAGAAAAUCCGAAAACUAGAAAAGAUAAAAACUCAGAAGGGAGAGAAUUUUUUUCUUCCCUCAAAUAGGCGUCGCGCGAUACGGCGUGCUAUAGCAGAAUUCCACAUUUACGUCAGUUCUAUUGUUACCAAAUCCUGCUUAUUCUGGAAAUUAAUAAACUGCCAAUUUUUAAUAUACUCAUAUCAUCAGCUACCAGUUUAUCUACACUAUAGCUAUAAUUAAUUUAAUUCGAUGAUUUUAAUUUAGGAAAUACGAGUAUCAGUAUUGUCGCGUCGCAACGUCCUAUUGGAGCAGAUAGAAACACUGUGAUCAAGACCUCGUUUUGGCAAG
RNAcentral lists this long non-coding RNA (649 nucleotides) under Androctonus crassicauda. The record is from RNAcentral. Lineage: Eukaryota; Metazoa; Arthropoda; Arachnida; Scorpiones; Buthidae.